RNAcentral lists this ribosomal RNA (555 nucleotides) under Bifidobacterium breve. RNAcentral describes it as "bacterial SSU rRNA". It matches the Rfam family "Bacterial small subunit ribosomal RNA", at positions 146 to 711 of the family's 1533-position model. Lineage: Bacteria; Bacillati; Actinomycetota; Actinomycetes; Bifidobacteriales; Bifidobacteriaceae. The record is from RNAcentral.
UCUCCUGGAAACGGGUGGUAAUGCCGGAUGCUCCAUCAUACCGCAUGGUGUGUUGGGAAAGCCUUUGCGGCAUGGGAUGGGGUCGCGUCCUAUCAGCUUGAUGGCGGGGUAACGGCCCACCAUGGCUUCGACGGGUAGCCGGCCUGAGAGGGCGACCGGCCACAUUGGGACUGAGAUACGGCCCAGACUCCUACGGGAGGCAGCAGUGGGGAAUAUUGCACAAUGGGCGCAAGCCUGAUGCAGCGACGCCGCGUGAGGGAUGGAGGCCUUCGGGUUGUAAACCUCUUUUGUUAGGGAGCAAGGCAUUUUGUGUUGAGUGUACCUUUCGAAUAAGCACCGGCUAACUACGUGCCAGCAGCCGCGGUAAUACGUAGGGUGCAAGCGUUAUCCGGAAUUAUUGGGCGUAAAGGGCUCGUAGGCGGUUCGUCGCGUCCGGUGUGAAAGUCCAUCGCUUAACGGUGGAUCCGCGCCGGGUACGGGCGGGCUUGAGUGCGGUAGGGGAGACUGGAAUUCCCGGUGUAACGGUGGAAUGUGUAGAUAUCGGGAAGAACACCA